UUACAACUAGUUUUCGUACUUUAACAAAACUCGUCCUCGGUUUUUGUUUUUUUGUUUUGUUUGUUUUGUUUUUGUGUUCCGGACAGCAGUUUUCGUAGCCAACGACGGGAUCUGUAAGCCAGGAGAAGACGAUGGUGCCCCGCACCCGAACGCCUCCCCAUCAAGCUGCUGAGGCCUUGGCACGCUGGCUCCUCUCUGCUGGCCCAGAUACGACAAUCUGGAAACCUGGCUCUUAGUGCUCUCUAAAAAGUAGCUCAUAGUAGGCACUCCAGCUUUUGCCCACUUGACAAAAACUCAAGGGAGGAAUCUCCAGACCCUGAUCAAAUACCACUGGUCUCAAGACAUUCAUCUAAGACACCCAGGAUUCCUUUGCCUGAUGUCUCAGGUGGGCAGAGACUGGGGAUGGAAUUGAAAGUUGCAUUUUAUUUCCAGUACCUAAUUGGGGGAAUACAAUACAAGUUUGUAUUCUACAAAUUUGCUUAUUAAAGUGAGAACUGAAAAAUGAAACUGGUAGGUGUGAGGUAACAAGAGAGUCCUCAUCAUUUUCCUUCCCUAAAUCCACUGUAGGAAACUGUGGCAUCUCGGGUCUAGUUAUGAAAAGCAGCAGUAGUAAUGCCAGUAGGACCCAGAGGAAGUGAUGUCUACCAGUAGUGGCUGUGAAUACUCUGCCUUCUUGUGUAGGUCUCCAAUUAGUAGGAUUUAAGUUCUUUAGCAAAAAUUGAGCACUUCCUGUAUAGUGGACACUCUUGGGAAAGGCAGUCUCCUCCUCACAGUCCUUUAAGCCCUACUCAACUAAAUAAGAAUGGGCCUUGGGCCUAGAAUACUUGCUUACCAAUAGUCCUAAAGAGCCUAUGUAGCCUGUUCUGGGCUUAUCACCUUAUGUGGGAAUAUCCUUCCCUGUGCCAGACUCAGUAUGUAAUCCUUUGUUCAGAUUAAGCACUAAGUCAAAUAUCCCUGGGGCAUGCUCCCCCACCCCGUUUCAGUAUUUCACACUCCAUGGGUAGGGGUGACUUGUGCUUAGGCACCAGAGUGGCACUCAGGCCUUUGGCUGCUGUGGAGGACCAAGGCACACUACUGGAGCUGAUCUUGGCUGUGUCUCUUCUGUGAGUAAAAAUGCUGUUCAUCCAGUGCUUGUGUUGUGUUUUCCUUGGCAACCGAUACUACAUAGUAGGCAGAAGUGUUUGGACUUCUGUCCCUGGUGACUAGCAUGAUCUUUGCUGUCUUCCAUGUAGUUGAAUCAUGGCCCUCCCCAUCCCUGGCAUGGGUACCAGCGCACUGUGUUCUGCUAGACAGAUACUAUGUUUGGCUAGGGUGGUUUAGUAACUCUUGGACCUUCCUUCCUGCCUUCUGCUUCCCUUUCCUUCAGUACCAUUGCCUCCCAACUGAUCUCUCUACGCUUGAACCUCCUGUCUAGGGAACAGCCCUGCUCCAAUUUCCCUUCAAGGCAAACCCAGAAAGAUUGUCUCAGCUAAGUACUAGAAGCAAAGCCAUGGAUCCUUUAGUCAUCCUAAGAGCCUUUCCUCAAACUCCAGACUAGAGUAGGGCCCCCUUACAUUUCAAAGGUAUGAAAAUACCUGUAUCUUUGAUAAUCUCCAAUCUGGCAGUGUGCCCCUAAGGAAUUGAGACAAUACACAACCAUUAAAAAAAAAAAAAAGUAAUGCUGAAUCUACUCAAAGACCUAUUAAGUAAUCAUGGUUAGGAAAACUACUUGCAACAGUGAAGUAUUUAUUUGUUAAGCAAAACAAAAUAAAAAGACCAAAGUGCUAAGUGAUGGCUAUACUGUAAUUAUAACUAUGGGAAGCAAAGGGGAAAAAUGACAGGGAAAUGUAUUAUGAUGGUCCCUCAGGCCACAGCAUAGAAGCAGGGCAAGGUCCCAGCCCACCAGAGGCUCCUCCAGUCAGCAUGCUUAGGUUUGAAGCUGGGUCCCACCACUGGAAGCUGCCUGACCAAGAGAAGUUACUUGAGGCCUCAUUUAUUACCCUUAUGUAAAAUAAGGAAAUGUAAUACUAGUGUCAGUCUCCUAGAGCUCCUAUACCAGUAAACAAAACAGAGUAUGUAAAGCACUUAAAAUAGUACCUGGAACACACAUAGUAAUACUCGAGUGUUAGUUGUUAUAAAAGAUGGAAUCACUAGAAGUUCUUCUUAAAUUCUUAAGUAUACAUACACAUACAUGUAAAGGUUCAAAUCUCAGCUUCAACAACUUACUAUGUGUGUAACCUGGGCAAGUUACUCAAUCUCUUUCUAUGCCUCAGUGUGUCUAUUUGUAAAAUGAAAAUCAUAAUGGUACUGUUCUGAACCAGUGUCCUCUCCUGUGAGUGACCACUCCAGCCACAGCUGUCCACAAUAUAAAGUUAUACAUAAACUCCUGUCCAGUGUAACAUUCUGAAAGGUGACUCAACUACGGUUCCACUUCCAUAGAAUGUAGGGUGCAUUAGAAAAUGAAAUACUCUAUAACACUGUAAACAGUAUAAAAGUUAAUUAUCAUUUUGUAGUUAGAUGUCAUGUCUGAAUUUAAGGGAUCUUUUAGAAGGAGCUUUCCAAAACGUUGGAAUAAAUUGUGUGUUCUCUCUUUUCUACAUGUGAUCUACACUAGAAUAGAAUCAACUUGUGGGCAAGAACAGUGUUAGAUAUUUCUUAUGGCUCUCACUAAAACUAGCACAGUGCUAAGAACAUAUUAAGGUUCAGUUAAUGCAUGCCAGUUAGGGAAUUGUGACUAAAAUUUGAGUUAUGCUUUAGCCUAGAACUGACAAUAAAUAAGCUUUAGUUAGGUAACAACAUUUACUUUCUCCUAACAUCUGCCUUAUCCAGAAACAGCUUAAAGCACUUCAUAUUCUUUCGGUGAAAUGAGAGAUCACAAACACCAAAGCAGUUGACUCUUCCAUUUUCCCAACAGUUACUCAGAAGGUCACACUUACCGAUUCUACUUAUUCUUCCUAACAGAACACUUUCCUGAUUACAGACUGAGAGCAAAAUUGCAAAUGAAAAGAAAAACAACCUUCUUAGACAUUUAUUUAAGGAAUCAAGAGUUUUAUAAAACUGUAACGUGUACUGUCAUUCUACUCACCAUACCACCUGAACACAGCUUUGCAUUUCAAACUGGAUUACUCUCUUAAAAUAUUGGAUUAUUAAAAACAACAAUAGUGAACUCUACCGAGUAUUUUUGCAUUUGCUUAUUGCAGUAUUAAUUAAAACAAUUUAUAAUUUUUAACACAUUUAACAGUUCAACAAAUGCAUGAUUCUUUUAAUCUGCCUGAAGUUGUAAGAGGACACUUCACUGGAGAAAACAUAUGAAAGUGCAGCAUUAAUU
Long non-coding RNA from Lynx canadensis (Canada lynx), 3307 nucleotides. RefSeq lists it as uncharacterized. Lineage: Eukaryota; Metazoa; Chordata; Mammalia; Carnivora; Felidae. The transcript has 3 exons. The record is from RefSeq and is a predicted model, not a curated record.